CCAAUAGCGUAUAUUAAAGUUGUUGCAGUUAAAAAGCUCGUAGUUGAAUUUCGAGAUCGGUUUAUUGGUCGUGCUAUUGUACGUACUGGUAUUACCGGUUUCUCCUUUCUGACGAACCUUAAUGCCAUUAAUUUGGUGUUUUGGGAAAUCAGGACUGUUACUUUGAAAAAAUUAGAGUGUUUAAAGCAGGCUCACGCUUGAAUACAUUAGCAUGGAAUAACGGAAUAGGACGUUUGAUUCUAUUUUGUUGGUUUCUAGGAUCGACGUAAUGAUUAAUAGGGAUAGUUGGGGGCAUUAGUAUUCAAUUGUCAGAGGUGAAAUUCUUGGAUUUAUUGAAGACUAACUACUGCGAAAGCAUUUGCCAAGGAUGUUUUCAUUAAUCAAGAACGAAAGUUAGGGGAUCGAAGACGAUCAGAUACCGUCGUAGUCUUAACCAUAAACUAUGCCGACUAGGGAUCGGAUGAUGUUAAUUUUUUAAUGACUCAUUCGGCGCCUUAUG
Molecule: ribosomal RNA, 499 nt
Filed under: uncultured Glomeromycotina
Lineage: Eukaryota; Fungi; Glomeromycota
Description: partial small subunit ribosomal RNA
Rfam family: Eukaryotic small subunit ribosomal RNA
Source: RNAcentral